This 245-nucleotide ribosomal RNA is filed under the name uncultured bacterium. Its description in RNAcentral is "partial 16S ribosomal RNA". It matches the Rfam family "Bacterial small subunit ribosomal RNA", at positions 524 to 768 of the family's 1533-position model. The record is from RNAcentral.
UACAGAGGGUGCUAGCGUUGUUCGGAAUUAUUGGGCGUAAAGCGCGUGUAGGCGGCCUUGCAAGUUGGGUGUGAAAGCCCUCGGCUUAACCGAGGAAGUGCGCCUAAAACUACAAGGCUUGAGUACCGGAGAGGGCGGCGGAAUUCCCGGUGUAGAGGUGAAAUUCGUAGAUAUCGGGAGGAACACCAGUGGCGAAGGCGGCCGCCUGGACGGAUACUGACGCUGAGACGCGAAAGCGUGGGGAG